This 468-nucleotide ribosomal RNA is filed under the name uncultured bacterium. Its description in RNAcentral is "partial 16S ribosomal RNA". It matches the Rfam family "Bacterial small subunit ribosomal RNA", at positions 28 to 507 of the family's 1533-position model. The record is from RNAcentral.
GACGAACGCUGGCGGCGUGCUUAAUACAUGCAAGUCGAACGGAAAGGCCCUGCUCUUGCGGCGUGCUCGAGUGGCGAACGGGUGAGUAACACGUGAGUAACCUGCCCUUGUCUUUGUGAUAACACCAGGAAACUCGGGCUAAUACCGGAUAGGAGCUCCUGCUGCAUGGUGGUGGUUGGAAAGUUUCGGCGGUUGGGGCUGGACUCGCGGCUUAUCAGCUUGUUGGUGAGGUAGUGGCUUACCAAGGGUGUGACGGGUAGCCGGCCUGAGAGGGUGAACGGGGACAAGAGGACUACGAGAGGCACCAGACGGGAACGGGAGGCAGUGGGGGGAAGUAUGACGGAGUGGGGGGGAGCGAGUGACAGCGGCCCCGGAUGCGGAAAGACGGGUUUCGAGGUAUAAACCAAUUUGGACUGUGACGAAGCGGGAGUGACGGUAAUUGAUAAAGAAGCACCGGCUAACUACGUG